This 468-nucleotide ribosomal RNA is filed under the name uncultured bacterium. Its description in RNAcentral is "partial 16S ribosomal RNA". It matches the Rfam family "Bacterial small subunit ribosomal RNA", at positions 28 to 507 of the family's 1533-position model. The record is from RNAcentral.
GACGAACGCUGGCGGCGUGCUUAACACAUGCAAGUCGAACGGAAAGGCCCUGCUUUUGUGUGGUUCUCGAGUGGCGAACGGGUGAGUAACACGUGAGUAACCUUCCCUUGACUUUGGGAUAACUUCAGGAAACUGGGGCUAAUACCGGAUAGGAGCUCCUGCUGCAUGGUGGUGGUUGGAAAGUUUCGGCUGUUGGGGAUGGACUCGCGGCUUAUCAGCUUGUUGGUGGGGUAGUGGCUUACGAAGGGUUUGACGGGUAGCCUGCCUGAGAGGGUGAACGGGCACAUUGGGACUGAGAUACGGCCCAGACUCCAACGGGAGGCAGCAGGGGGAAAUAUUGCACAAUGGGCGGACGCCUGAUGCAGCAACGCCGCGUGCGGGAUGACGGCCUUCGGGUUGUAAACCGCAUUCGCCUGUGACGAAGCGUGAGUGACGGUAAUGGGUAAAGAAGCACCGGCUAACUACGUG